Molecule: ribosomal RNA, 213 nt
Filed under: Klebsiella pneumoniae
Lineage: Bacteria; Pseudomonadati; Pseudomonadota; Gammaproteobacteria; Enterobacterales; Enterobacteriaceae
Also listed under: 2 other names
Description: partial 23S ribosomal RNA
Rfam family: Bacterial large subunit ribosomal RNA
Source: RNAcentral
UAAUAGCUCACUGGUCGAGUCGGCCUGCGCGGAAGAUGUAACGGGGCUAAACCAUGCACCGAAGCUGCGGCAGCGACACUAUGUGUUGUUGGGUAGGGGAGCGUUCUGUAAGCCUGCGAAGGUGACCUGUGAGGGUUGCUGGAGGUAUCAGAAGUGCGAAUGCUGACAUAAGUAACGAUAAAGCGGGUGAAAAGCCCGCUCGCCGGAAGACCA